RNAcentral lists this ribosomal RNA (250 nucleotides) under uncultured bacterium. Its description in RNAcentral is "partial 16S ribosomal RNA". It matches the Rfam family "Bacterial small subunit ribosomal RNA", at positions 57 to 305 of the family's 1533-position model. The record is from RNAcentral.
GCAAGUCGAACGGAAACGACAAGAGCUUGCUCUUGGGCGUCGAGUGGCGGACGGGUGAGUAACGCGUAGGAAUCUGCCUGAUAGUGGGGGAUAGCCCAGAGAAAUCUGGAUUAAUACCGCAUAAUAUCCAUGGAUUAAAGUGGAGGAUCUUCGGACUUCACGCUAUCAGAUGAGCCUGCGUAAGAUUAGCUAGUUGGUGAGGUAAAAGCUCACCAAGGCGACGAUCUUUAGCUGGUCUGAGAGGAUGAUC